Long non-coding RNA from Helianthus annuus (common sunflower), 706 nucleotides. RefSeq lists it as uncharacterized. The record is from RefSeq and is a predicted model, not a curated record. NCBI's taxonomy places the organism in Eukaryota, Viridiplantae, Streptophyta, Magnoliopsida, Asterales, Asteraceae. The transcript has 3 exons.
AUUUUCUAACACCCUACACUUCCUAAAAUACAUCCCGUAUGUGAAAACCGAGCCCGAAAUACAAUAUAUUAUUAAAAAUAAUUAAAAAAACAAGAAAAUAUAAGUUUAGGCGGGCCGCGACAACCCCCACCCUUAGUUUACGCGGGCGGUUUAAAGGUUAAACCUGAUUCCUUUGAGUUUUUAAGUUCAAAUGGGUCGCGUAAAGAUUCUCGAUUAGUUAACGCGGGCCGCGAGAGGUUCAAAAGGUGGCGCAGCCCGGUGCGGCCACGUGGCCCAACACCCGGCCAACCUAGUCAAUGACUCAGCCCAGCUACACGUUGACCUGGGGUCAACGCGGGCGACGUAAGCCCUGUCUUUGUUUUACGCGGGGCGCGACAAGGUCAAGAUCAGGCACUAUAUAUAGAAUGCAUUGGAUCUUCAUUCGAAUUCGUUCAAAAUCGAUUUCCUUUCUCUCAAUUCUGAAUAGUAGAAAUAAUACUCGGGUAUAAUACCCCCCUAAUUAGCGAAGCUCUGCCUCGUUAUUAUAACCAGGAAGUCCCAAAGGAAAGCCCUUUAAUGGCAAUGUAACACAAUGUGAAAGCCAAUUAGAAUAAAGCCAGCUCGAGAGCACUGACGGCUUGGAAAAAUGUGGCUAUAAAAGUUACCUAGAAGACGAUGUUUUAAAUUCAAUAAAAUAAGGGUUAUCCCUAUAAACAUGUUGUAACAA